GGCGCCUGGAGCAGCGCCGGACUCCAGGGUCGGCCGGGCCCGGUUCAGGCAGCGGCGGGUGAGGUUCCAGGAGUGGACCACCAUGUUUCUGUUUCCAAAAUGUUCAAGAUAAAAGGUUUGCAUCCAUGAAACAAGAAUCCCUGCUCCUCCUCCUCUAGAUGCCAGAAGGCCAUGCUGUACUCUGCUUCUAGGAGUCUGCAUAGCACAGGCACCUCACACAGAGUCUCCCGAAAUUCAGACUGGCUUCCAGGUGGCUGUGCAAUGCAGUGAUGGCCUUGAACUACUUACCCUCCUACUUCAGAUCCGAGUGCUAGGAUUGUUACUGAAGAUAUUAAGUCUCAGAGCUUAGGCCCUAAGGGUCCCAAUAACAGACAAGUAUAGAGGAAAGCAGUGUGGCCAUACUGGGAAGGGGACUGUUUAGGAGGGGUCGGUCAUCUUAAAUCUCUUUGUUCUUCUUCCCAACAUGGCUUCAUUGAAUAAAUCAUUUUUUUGCUUUGU
This 498-nucleotide long non-coding RNA is filed under the name Rattus norvegicus (Norway rat). Its description in RNAcentral is "long non-coding RNA NONRATT026070". The record is from RNAcentral. Lineage: Eukaryota; Metazoa; Chordata; Mammalia; Rodentia; Muridae.